UACGUAGGGGGCUAGCGUUGCUCGGAAUUACUGGGCGUAAAGCGCACGUAGGCGGCUUUAUAAGUCGGGGGUGAAAUCCUGGAGCUCAACUCCAGAACUGCCUUCGAUACUGGAAAGCUCGAGUCCGGGAGAGGUGAGUGGAACUGCGAGUGUAGAGGUGAAAUUCGUAGAUAUUCGGAAGAACACCAGUGGCGAAGGCGGCUCACUGGCCCGGUACUGACGCUGAAAUACGAAAGCGUGGGGAGCAAACAGG
Molecule: ribosomal RNA, 253 nt
Filed under: uncultured bacterium
Lineage: Bacteria
Description: partial 16S ribosomal RNA
Rfam family: Bacterial small subunit ribosomal RNA
Source: RNAcentral